Molecule: RNA transcript, 2153 nt
Organism: Zea mays
Lineage: Eukaryota; Viridiplantae; Streptophyta; Magnoliopsida; Poales; Poaceae
Exons: 4
Source: RefSeq, marked validated
AUGUCGGGAGAAACCCAAAAAAUUAAACUCCUCCCGCGUGCCACCUCCCCGCGGCCGCGGAUGCGCAUGUCCCGUCCCCCGCCACCGCCAUGGCCGACGUCGGCGAGCCUCCUCCCUCGCUCUGCCCCUUAUGCGGCCACCCCGCUGCCUUCUCCGUUUCACCGUCGACGUCUGCGGCGGCCAGCGUGUCCCCCGCAAGGCCGCCGCUGAAGCGAAGGACCCCACCCGAGGCGCCACCUGCGGUCGUGAGGGUGGAGAUCGGGGAUGAGGCCGCGGCGCUGCGCGAGGCAUUGGCGCGGCAGCAAGCGGCGCUCGCCGACGUCCAGGCGGAGCUCGACGCGGAACGCGGGGCCGCGGCCGGCGCCGCCAGCGAGGCCAUGACCAUGAUCCUCCGCCUGCAGCGCGAGAAGGCCGAGGCCAUGAUGGAGGCACGCCAGUUCCGCCGCUACGCCGAGGAGAAGAUGGCUCACGACGCCGCCGAGCUCGCGGCCCUCGAGGAGGCGCUCUCGAAGCGUGAGGCCGGGAUGCGGGCGCUCCAGGGCCAGACGCCCCGUCACGCCUGCGCCGCGCCGUCGGGGGGCUCCACCCCACGACGCCCCUCUGUGGCCACGCCGCGUCACCCACCCUCCUCGCUGUCCCCCGCGGCGUCGUCCGGAGGAGGGUACUACCCGCCUCUGCGGUGCAGCAUCGACCACCCGCCCACCGCGUCCGAAGCAGACGCGCUCGAGACACCGCGCGACCAGCUCAACCACCUCGCCCACCGUGUCCACCUCCUCGAGCGCGGCGCGACCCCGAUGGCCGCCACCAACACCACGCCCAUCAUCCGUGUCGCGCCGGGGUCUGCCUUCCCGCACCAUGCACGGGCCUACUCGGAUGACAGCCUUGACUUGUACGAUGGUGGCGACUGCUUCCCGGAUGACGAUUGCGGCGCCAGCGACCGGGUAUACACCGUGGACGCCAUUCAUGGGGCACCCCUGGCGGUUCCUGAGGGCUCCUACGCCGGUAGCACGCCCAUGGGGAGCGACUGCUACGGCGGCGCUCCGUGGGCAGAAGACGAGGAGGUGCGCCGCCUCAGCGUGCGGAUGCAGGCGUUGGAGGCAGACCGUGAGUCCAUGAGGCAAGCCAUCAUGUCCAUGGGAGCCGAGAAGGCGCAGGUGAUGCUGCUCAAGGAGAUCGCGCAGAAGCUCUGCAAAGACGCGACACCACCGGUUCCAGCGGCAGCAGUGGCGCAGCACGGCUUUUACAAAGGGGGCAACACGCAGCCGGCCAUGACCAUCACUGUGCGACCACCACGGCACCCAGCUUUGCUUAUGCAAAGGAAACUGGUGAAGAAGAAGCCAUCACUCCUUGCUGUAGUGGUCAAGUGGGUUACAUCAAUCAUGUGGUGGCGAAGGAAAUCAUCUCGCGUAAAGUUCCCUAUUGGGCAGUGCGGCAACAACGUGGGGCUGCUUCUGCUGCUCGACAAGGCUCCUAGGGCAGGCCACGGGCACCAGAGGCCUCCCAAGAGGAUCUAACUACCAAAUGAGUCAUCUGUUUGUGAAGCAAACACAUGACUGGGCUUCCGCAUUGUUGGUCUUGCGUUCUUCUUUUCACCGUGUCUGUGUAGGAUAUACCACCUGAGCGUUGUACGUUGUGUGUUCAUGGGACUUCAAUCACCAGAAGUUGACUCAGAUCUUAGAAUCGAUCAUGGAAUUGACGUUCAUGGCACUUCACCGCUGAAUAUUGUUGUUGGGUGUGGGGCUGGACAAAAUACUCAUGGCUCGAUAACUCGCUCGACUCGGCUCGUUAGUAGCUCGGCUCGACUCGGCUCGUUUUGAUUCUGUAGCGAGCCAAGCUAGCAUUCUAGCUCGGUUCUCUAAUGAGCCAGCUCGGAUUAGCUCGUGAGCUAGCUCGCGAGCCAAACGAGCCAAGCCACAACACAAGUUUGUCUAGUCGUUAGUGUCGUCCCAUCUCUUAUAGUCUUGUUUUCUCGUAGCUAUGAUCUGUGAUAUGGACAUGUGUGAAUGUGCCAUAUGCUUAAAUGUUUGUAUUAUUGUAUGGCUACAUACCUACAUUGCAUAUUUAAUAUUUGAUUAUUGGUUAUGGUUUUGUGAACUUUGUUUCUAGCAGCAUAUGAUGUUAGUGUUGUGCAAUGAAAUGUUACAUGUUUGUGG